This is an RNA transcript of Exaiptasia diaphana, 1980 nucleotides long. It is a transcript of the gene named transmembrane protein 33, with no coding region annotated. The transcript has 10 exons. Lineage: Eukaryota; Metazoa; Cnidaria; Anthozoa; Actiniaria; Aiptasiidae. The record is from RefSeq and is a predicted model, not a curated record.
AAUCCGCUCUAUACACUUGUUUUGGCAGUGAAGGACUGGUACAUGGUACAACGAUAUUCUUUUGUCAGCGGUUUUCCCCAUGAGCACCUGGUUCUAAAGAAAUCGAAAGUAACUUCAAUUUGAACCCUUUGGUGGGAAGAGAAAAGGAAUAUUCUCUCAUUUUAUCGUCAAAAAACCUUGAUUACAUCGUACAAAGUUCGGUUUUUGCUGUUUUAAUUACAAAAAUGCCGCCACAUGAAGACACUGGCGCUGCCAGCGAGCCGAAUACUGGAGGAACAACUCCACCACCGAAUACAACUCCUUCAUCUCCCAACUGGGCGGCUUUAAGACAAUACUUGACAGAGAACAAGAUUGACAGUGCUCUGUGGCUGACUCGUGUUUUCACAAUUAUCAAUUCCAUAUUAUUUCUUCUUCCUCUAUUCAGUCCACAGUUCAGUUAUAGUUGUUACAAGAGAGCUCUGAUUAGUGCUGCAGCAACAUCAGCUCUCAGACUACACCAAAGACUUCCUAGGUUCCAGCUAAGUAGAGAGUAUUUGGGUCAACUAUUCCUAGAAGACAGCUGUCAUUAUCUCAUGUACUGCAUUAUGUUCAUUAAUUGUUAUCCAGUAACAAUGAUUUUAAUUCCUGUGGCUUUGUUUGCUAUUCUGCAYACUGUUUCAUUUACCAAGAAAUUAUUGGAUAUUCUUGGUUCUGGUGGGAUUGUAAAUCUAUCAAUAGUCAGGGCAGCUCGUCAGUCCAUUGAAAAAGUAGAACUAUACCAACAAGGAAUUAUGAGAUUUGUUGCUUGUACAGAAAUAAUGCUUAUGCCAGCUGUAAUUCUAAUGACAUUCAGUGGACAAGCGGGUAUUGUCAUUCCAUUUGUAUAUUAUCGUUUCUUGGGACUAAGAUAUGCUUCAAGAAGAAACCCAUACUGCAGGGUACUUUUUACAGAGUUUAGAAGAGGAUUUGAGGGAAUAGCCAGUCAUGRUAAAUGCCCAGGCUUUGCCAGGACAUUCAUUCUCAAGGCCAUCACCUUCAUCUCCAGUUUGGCACCAGCUGUUUCUCCAGCACAAUCGUGAAGCUUCAAAAUAACAUUUGAUACAAUAAAUGACAAUACAUGGUUCCCCAAGAGCUUUUAAAGUUGUAUGAAUGUAGCUCAGGGUUUGGCUUACCAGUCAGGGCUUGGCUUACCACCAGUCAAGAUUUAGUUAAUUGUAGACUCAGACUAAAAAAUUCUGCAGGUGGCCAACGAUUCUUUAUAUCUGUGGUCAGGUUCAAUUUGAGUCAUUAUGGUAUAUGCAAAUUCAAGCCAAGGUAUUGUUAAUGAUAUCAAAACCAAAUUCUGAAAAUUCAACUUGUCAUAGGAUUACAACUCUUUCAGAACACCAGAAGAACAAUAGCUUUGUGCAYYGUUUUCUCUUGGGGAAACAAUUAAGCAUUGCUGGURCAUGCUAAAGAUAAUGGUGUCAAGUUCUAAGAUCAAGCUUUUCCGAGCUAGCUAGUAGCUUGAGGGUUCUCUGUUAAUUAUGUAAACAUAAUCAUUAUUGAUAAAUUUGUAUUUAGUUGUUCCCAUUAUUGAGUAUUCUCUCGUGAGACUUUCUACACAUGCUUUUUAACAGAUUUUAACUACUGAAUAGAGGACAAAUGCAGAAUCGUGAGUCUUUGUUUCAUGUGGCGUGCAGUAUGCCGCUGUCAAGAGGGUGGGUGACCAAUAUCUGUGAACACCACAAAAACCAACUUCAUUUUAUAUAUCUAAUGGAUCCAGACACUUGGUGUCUAGAGCAUGUUAUAGAAGGGUUUUUAGUUUUUGCUCUUUGGAAAAGCCCUGGAAAGCGGGAAACUUUUGUGCUUAGAAAGUUCUUUAAAUGUUUUAAAAUUUUGUGAUGAAAAUGUAGCAAAAACCCUUUUAUUAUGAAGAAUCUUCUUGAAAACAACUUUGAUAAACAUAAUGCAUAGUUGUAUGCCCAUUACUGCAAUCAAUGGAUGUUAAAAAAAACAUGA